AUUGAAUGAUGGCGGCAGGCCUAACACAUGCAAGUCGAGCGGAUGAAGGGAGCUUGCUCCUGGAUUCAGCGGCGGACGGGUGAGUAAUGCCUAGGAAUCUGCCUGGUAGUGGGGGAUAACGUCCGGAAACGGGCGCUAAUACCGCAUACGUCCUGAGGGAGAAAGUGGGGGAUCUUCGGACCUCACGCUAUCAGAUGAGCCUAGGUCGGAUUAGCUAGUUGGUGGGGUAAAGGCCUACCAAGGCGACGAUCCGUAACUGGUCUGAGAGGAUGAUCAGUCACACUGGAACUGAGACACGGUCCAGACUCCUACGGGAGGCAGCAGUGGGGAAUAUUGGACAAUGGGCGAAAGCCUGAUCCAGCCAUGCCGCGUGUGUGAAGAAGGUCUUCGGAUUGUAAAGCACUUUAAGUUGGGAGGAAGGGCAGUAAGUUAAUACCUUGCUGUUUUGACGUUACCAACAGAAUAAGCACCGGCUAACUUCGUG
RNAcentral lists this ribosomal RNA (484 nucleotides) under uncultured bacterium. RNAcentral describes it as "partial 16S ribosomal RNA". It matches the Rfam family "Bacterial small subunit ribosomal RNA", at positions 30 to 507 of the family's 1533-position model. The record is from RNAcentral.